RNA transcript from Sabethes cyaneus, 2279 nucleotides. It is a transcript of the gene named exopolyphosphatase PRUNE1, with no coding region annotated. NCBI's taxonomy places the organism in Eukaryota, Metazoa, Arthropoda, Insecta, Diptera, Culicidae. The transcript is spliced from 6 exons. The record is from RefSeq and is a predicted model, not a curated record.
AAUGGAAAUAAUCUAACCUGUUUUCUGUGGAAAACAGGCAGUACAAACAGUUGAACGAUAUUUCUUUAGAUUUUCAUGCAGAGCUGCCACAAAUACAAAUAUUUGUGCAUGCAUAAAUUAGGGACGCAUCAAUUAUUUUACUUGCUGUGAUUUCUGGCUCUACUAAUGUUCUUGAAUUUUAAAGUACUCCAUAAAGUAUUAAUAAUAUUUAUGUUAUUUAAAAGAUUAGACCGAGAAAAUAAAGUACUCCGGAGAAAACGGCAGGAUCCCAAAUUUAUGCAUGCACAAAUACCUGUAUUUGAUUAUGGCAGCUGUUUUCAUGGCUGCUUAAUAAUGUUUGUUUACGAAGAAUUUAUUGUUAGAUUGGCUAGAACAAAAGCUAUUGUAACGUGAUACUUCUUGUGAUACUAUUGAUAGCAAAAAAAUGAACAAGUACUUGAGUUAUUGCAAAUCUAUUGUUAAAACCAAGGGACAACCGCGGAUAGUCGUACUGGGGAACGAAAGCUGUGAUUUAGAUUCAGCCGUAUGUAGCCUUACGUUUGCUUUUCACUUGUUCAAAUGCCCCAGUUUGGUACAACCAUUCCCAGGCUGGGAACACGUACUGCCGGUCUUGAAUGUGUUUCGACACGAGCUGCCCAUCAAGACGGAAGUCGUGUACUUUCUGCAGAAGCACCAAAUCGAACUCGAAAAUCUCAUUUGUAAGGAUGAAAUUAGUUUAAACAAGGCUGCCUUAGAAAGGACCAAGUUCGUUCUGGUAGACCAUCAUAUGUCCAUAUACGAAGCGAACGUUGUCGGGGUGAUUGACCAUAGAAUAUUCGAUCCGCGGGCAAAUUUACCCGAUACGAUCUUCAAAUUGAUGAGACCGGUCGGUUCAUGUGCUACACUUAUUACAAAAAUAAUUACAGAUUACGAUAUGUUUGAUAAACACAGGGAUGAUUUCACGUUGGUGCUCAAACUUCUUUACGGUGCCAUAAUCUUAGACACGGUAAACUUCUCUAAGCAAGCUGAUAAGGCCCGGGAAAUGGAUCAUAUGAUGGCCGAAUACAUUGAGCAAAAUCUUGAAAUAAGCGAACUAGAUCGUCGAACAUUAUUCGAGAACCUGGUCCUUAAAAGAAAUGACGUUAGCGGUCUGGAUUCAUUGCAAAUUCUUUCAAAAGAUUCGAAAAUCCUUUAUCGACAAGGACGGACUGUGUCUAUACCCGGUUAUCCCAUAUUGGUGCAAGAUUAUGUAAAGAUGUACGAUGCUGAAACAAACCUGUUGAAGUUUGCGCAGACAACAGGAUCCGACGUGGUUGUUCUCAUGGGAAUGAAAAUAAACGCUGAGAGUAAUCAGGUUAGGAGAGAUUUAGGAAUCGUCAAUAUCUGUGACCGUGAUCUUUUCGAAAAGAUCGUCACAGCUUUAACGACCAGUAAAACGCCGGAUCUCCGUCUCGAAAAACGUUGUGGAAAUGUGUAUGAAUGUGUAUGCGGGAUAUAUUUUACCCAAGGCAAUAUAGCUGCUUCUAGAAAACAGAUUUUACCACUGAUACGCAGCAUCUUGGAUGGGUCGUCGUAGUGUAGUUCAAUUGAUAUAAAAUUAUGUAUUUAUUUAUAAAAUAGUGGAAACAAAUCGAAAAAGUAGUUCGGGUUGUAAAAGGAACGCUCGAGGCAUGGCAAUGACCACCGUAUCAUUCAUUAGUCACUCACAACUGUCGGAAAUAAAAAAAUAUGACCGAGGAAGCUAUUGCCAUGGUAACACUUACACAGGUUCACGGCGAUCAAGCAGCAUAUCGUUAAUAAAUCCAAUCGUGGUAGGCGCAUCAUAAUGGAUAAAUCAAGAAAACACCUCACUGGAAAACACCCACCCACACUGAAACCGCGAUAGCCCUAAAAAUGUGAAAACGCACGCACUAGGGGGGUCUUUUACUAACAGCGCGUCGCAAUGGCUGAGAAUAAUGUACACAAGCGCUGAUUAUACGCCUAUACCCUUCGCCAAGGUAUAAAAAUGAUACAGGAAAGAAAACCGGCGCUGCCUAAAAUCUGCUCCACAAGAAAUCAAGCUAUGCGUUGAAUGAUGCGACGAAACCGACCGGUCGAGAUGAACUGAUGCUGCGAGAGCAUAGUCACGUCCUUUGAAGCGGCCAAAUCAUCGGGAGAGCAUAAACAUGACAUAGAGAAAGAGUACUAGCAAUAAACAGUACGUACGGCAAAGGAUUCUAUACGAAAGGUAUUGCAAUAAGUAUUGGAAAUAAAAUUUAAAUAACUCUUGUUCGAUUUGUUCGGUGGAAAUAUUAUGAUAA